This 460-nucleotide ribosomal RNA is filed under the name uncultured bacterium. RNAcentral describes it as "partial 16S ribosomal RNA". It matches the Rfam family "Bacterial small subunit ribosomal RNA", at positions 338 to 795 of the family's 1533-position model. The record is from RNAcentral.
CCUACGGGAGGCAGCAGUGAGGAAUAUUGGUCAAUGGUCGCAAGACUGAACCAGCCAAGUCGCGUGAGGGAUGAAGGUACAGCGUAUCGUAAACCUCUUUUAUCAGGGAAUAAAGGCGGGGACGUGUCCCCUGUUGUGUGUAUCUUAUCAAAAAGCAUCGGCUAACUCCGUGCCACGAGCCGAGGUAAUACGGAGGAUUCGGGCGUUAUCCGGAUUUUUUGGGUUUAAAGGGUGCGCAGGGGGGCUGUUAAGUCCGCGGGGAAAGGCGGGGGCUCAACCCCGGAAGUGCCGUUGAAACUGGCGGUCUUGAGUUGGAGUGAAGAAGGCGGAAUGCGUGGUGUAGCGGUGAAAUGCUUAGAUAUCGCGCAGAACUCCGAUUGCGAAGGCAGCAGGCCGGGGCCACACUGACGCUGAGGCACGAAAGCGUGGGUAUCGAACAGGAUUAGAUACCCCUGUAGUC